Ipomoea nil (Japanese morning glory) is the source of this 73-nucleotide transfer RNA. It matches the Rfam family "tRNA". From Rfam's summary of the family: Transfer RNA (tRNA) molecules are approximately 80 nucleotides in length. Their secondary structure includes four short double-helical elements and three loops (D, anti-codon, and T loops). The record is from Rfam. Lineage: Eukaryota; Viridiplantae; Streptophyta; Magnoliopsida; Solanales; Convolvulaceae.
GACUCCAUGGCCCAAUGGAUAAGGUGCUGGUCUAUGAAAACAGAUAUUUAGGGUUCGAUCCCUAGUGGAGUCG